This 200-nucleotide ribosomal RNA is filed under the name Varanus bengalensis. Its description in RNAcentral is "partial 12S ribosomal RNA". Lineage: Eukaryota; Metazoa; Chordata; Lepidosauria; Squamata; Varanidae. The record is from RNAcentral.
GGGCGUCUAAAGUAACUAGUAAUUACAUUUAACAACUCUUCCGAGACUACCUGCUCAGGCUAAAUAAACACAAAACUUGAUGGUGCUCUACCCUACUUAAAGGAGCCUGUCCUGUUUCGAUACCAAUAAACCCUACCCCUACCUCACCAUCUCUGGCUAGCCUAUAUAAUAUACUGCCAAGUUAACAAAAAAACAAACAG